AGCGAACGUUAGCGGCGGGCCUAACACAUGCAAGUCGAGCGAGAAAGUGGCUUCGGCCAUCAGUAAAGCGGCGGACGGGUGAGUAACACGUGGGUAAUCUUCCUUCGAGCGGGGACGAACGGUCCGAAGGACCGCUAAUACCGCAUACGUUUCUUCGGGACCGUCGGUCCUGGGAAGGAAAGACUAGGUAGCAAUAUCCGGCACUCGAUGAGGAGCCUGCGUCGCAUCAGCUAGUUGGUGGGGAAGUGGCCCACCAAGGCGAAGACGCGUAGCUGGUCUGAGAGGAUGAUCAGCCACACUGGGACUGAGACACGGCCCAGACUCCUACGGGAGGCAGCAGUGGGGAAUAUUGGACAAUGGGCGCAAGCCUGAUCCAGCCACGCCGCGUGAGU
This 392-nucleotide ribosomal RNA is filed under the name uncultured bacterium. Its description in RNAcentral is "bacterial SSU rRNA". It matches the Rfam family "Bacterial small subunit ribosomal RNA", at positions 29 to 406 of the family's 1533-position model. The record is from RNAcentral.